Molecule: long non-coding RNA, 1938 nt
Organism: Vicia villosa (hairy vetch)
Lineage: Eukaryota; Viridiplantae; Streptophyta; Magnoliopsida; Fabales; Fabaceae
Exons: 2
Source: RefSeq, a predicted model, not a curated record
CGGCACAGCAUGGGCCACAGGGGGUGUGUGAAUAGCGAUAGGCCCACGGAUAUUUUCUUUGUUGAUCCAGUUUACCAUUAUUAUUCAAAAAAACAAUUAAAUAGAAUAAUGAAUAAUAAUAAAAAUAAAAAGGGAAAAUUAAAUUGGGAUUUUAGGUUUACCUCUUGAGAGUUGAGACGGUUGAAAUUGCUCGUGGAUCCUUCUCCCUUUUCACGCAAAUACGGCGGCGGUGCACGGAAUCGUCUUCUCCGAUCAACCUUCUUGGCGAGCCUCCGUCUUUAUGGCGAACAAACUCCGCUUCGGCUCAACUUCUUGAUUCAAACUCAUUCGAUCCUUCUCUCAAAUCAUGAUUGCUGUUGAUUGAAAGAUGACGAAUUUGUGAAGAACGAUGACGAUUAGAGGUUGCGGAAGUUGUUGAAGAUUGAAGAAUCUGGUGAUUGAAGGAUGAAGAUGAUGAUGAAGAUGCGAAGCAAUGCGUUCUUUAUUGAUGUUUCUGAGUUUGAUGUGGUGUUGUUGCAGGUUAUUGAAGACCGGCGAUGUGGAUUGUUGAAGAUGAAGGUGAUGAUGUAAGAAGCUGCGAAGAUCCAGAAACUGGUUGAUUGUGUCUCUGAAGAUGGAGAAGAAUGAUGGAGGUUCUGGAAGUGAAAGUGAAGAUGAUGAAUGAUGAAGGGAGUGGUUCAGAGAUGAAGAUGAUGGAGAAGGUUAGAGAAAGAGAUGAAGAAUGGGAGAAGAUGAAUGAAGAAAAUGGUGGAGUGUGAUAAGGGUGAAGGUGAGCAAAAAAUGGUGGAGUGAGCGACUGAAAAAGAGAGACUGAAGAAUGGCCAAGGCUUCUGCUUAUAUAGAGAUUCAGGUUUUGUUCUGUUCCCAAUUUCCUUCUGGAGUUUUUGUUAUGAUUCAGUUAGGAUCGGUUAUCAAAUCGGUUAGUGAGCUGUUAGUUGGUUGCAAGGUAGUUAGAAUUCUGUUAAGUAGUUUGGGAUAGUCUGUUCAAUGUUAGGGUGAAACUGAGUUGACAGUUAGUUAAAGGAUGGUUAUGACUUGGUUAGGUUAGUUAUUGAGUAACUGAUUCUGUUAUGAAGCUGGCAAGUAGUUAAGGUUUAUAACUGAUUCGGUUAUGUGUUAGAGGGUGGUUCUGGUAGUUAGACUGAUAACCGAUUCUAUUUUCUGUUAUAGGUUAGAAAAGUUUGUUACAAAAAUAGGUUAGAAUUAGUUAGAAAUAGUUAGGUUGUUAGGAUAGGUUAGUUACCUGUAAAACUGAAAUUGGUUAGGAAGUGGUAGUUAGGGAAUUUAGUUAAAUUCUGUUAAUUGUGUGAAUUAGCUUGGAACUGUCAGUGAUUUUUUCUGGUUUUUCUUAUUGGUUUUGUAAUGUGAUUGGUCAUUGUGUGGUUGAGUGUAUUGGAACUGGUUUUGUAUAGUUAUGUUUUGAAUGUGGCUGUUGUAGGUUUUUAUGUGAUAGUAAUAGGUGGUUAGAGAUGUUGGUUAAUGGAAUGCUGCUGGGUUGAUAAUUAGAACUGCUUGAAUGCCAUUUUUUGUUUUUUUGGAAUGCUGCAGGGAUGUUUUUAAUAGCUGCUGUUGCUGAAGUAAUGUCGACUGUGAGUCAUUGAUGUUUGCUGUUGAUGAGUAAUCUCUUUCCCUUUUUUUUUUUUGAACUGAUGCAAGGAUGUUCUUGUAUGCUUGAUGGAUUUUGUAUAUGGCUGUUUGUGGAUUUAAAUAGUGAUGUUGUUCUCUCUUUUUUGUAUGCAGGACUGCAGCAAGUAUAUGGCAUUGGACUUGAAGGGUGAUGGAAUGGGAAGAAGGACUCUGCGGUUUAGACUUAGGCUUGUAUUAGUAAUAGGUUUUUGUACUGGUGUAUGUGGACCUGCUGUGUAUAAUAUGGUAUUUGAAAUGUGUGGACUUUGAUGUAAUGUGAAUGAUUAAAGUAUGAUAUGAAUUUUUUCGUAA